This 900-nucleotide ribosomal RNA is filed under the name Vibrio sp. RNAcentral describes it as "bacterial SSU rRNA". It matches the Rfam family "Bacterial small subunit ribosomal RNA", at positions 56 to 937 of the family's 1533-position model. The record is from RNAcentral. Lineage: Bacteria; Pseudomonadati; Pseudomonadota; Gammaproteobacteria; Vibrionales; Vibrionaceae.
UGCAGUCGAGCGGAACGAGUUAACUGAACCUUCGGGGAACGUUAACGGCGUCGAGCGGCGGACGGGUGAGUAAUGCCUGGGAAAUUGCCCUGAUGUGGGGGAUAACCAUUGGAAACGAUGGCUAAUACCGCAUAAUAGCUUCGGCUCAAAGAGGGGGACCUUCGGGCCUCUCGCGUCAGGAUAUGCCCAGGUGGGAUUAGCUAGUUGGUGAGGUAAUGGCUCACCAAGGCGACGAUCCCUAGCUGGUCUGAGAGGAUGAUCAGCCACACUGGAACUGAGACACGGUCCAGACUCCUACGGGAGGCAGCAGUGGGGAAUAUUGCACAAUGGGCGCAAGCCUGAUGCAGCCAUGCCGCGUGUAUGAAGAAGGCCUUCGGGUUGUAAAGUACUUUCAGCAGUGAGGAAGGUGGGUAUGUUAAUAGCAUACUCAUUUGACGUUAGCUGCAGAAGAAGCACCGGCUAACUCCGUGCCAGCAGCCGCGGUAAUACGGAGGGUGCGAGCGUUAAUCGGAAUUACUGGGCGUAAAGCGCAUGCAGGUGGUUUGUUAAGUCAGAUGUGAAAGCCCGGGGCUCAACCUCGGAAUUGCAUUUGAAACUGGCAAACUAGAGUACUGUAGAGGGGGGUAGAAUUUCAGGUGUAGCGGUGAAAUGCGUAGAGAUCUGAAGGAAUACCGGUGGCGAAGGCGGCCCCCUGGACAGAUACUGACACUCAGAUGCGAAAGCGUGGGGAGCAAACAGGAUUAGAUACCCUGGUAGUCCACGCCGUAAACGAUGUCUACUUGGAGGUUGUGGCCUUGAGCCGUGGCUUUCGGAGCUAACGCGUUAAGUAGACCGCCUGGGGAGUACGGUCGCAAGAUUAAAACUCAAAUGAAUUGACGGGGGCCCGCACAAGCGGUGGGA